Molecule: ribosomal RNA, 118 nt
Organism: Cyprinus carpio carpio
Lineage: Eukaryota; Metazoa; Chordata; Actinopteri; Cypriniformes; Cyprinidae
Source: Ensembl
GCUACGGCCAUACCACCCUGAGCGCGCCCGAUCUCGUCUGAUCUCGGAAGCUAAGCAGGGUCGGGCCUGGUUAGUACUUGGAUGGGAGACCGCCUGGGAAUACCAGGUGCUGUAAGCU